RNAcentral lists this ribosomal RNA (423 nucleotides) under uncultured bacterium. RNAcentral's name for it is "bacterial SSU rRNA". It matches the Rfam family "Bacterial small subunit ribosomal RNA", at positions 355 to 776 of the family's 1533-position model. The record is from RNAcentral.
UAGGGAAUAUUGGUCAAUGGAUGCAAGUCUGAACCAGCCAUGCCGCGUGCAGGAAGAAGGCCUUCUGGGUCGUAAACUGCUUUUGCCGGGGGAUAAAAAGACCAUGCGUGGUUAAUUGAAGGUACCCGGUGAAUAAGCCACGGCUAACUACGUGCCAGCAGCCGCGGUAAUACGUAGGUGGCAAGCGUUGUCCGGAUUUAUUGGGUUUAAAGGGUGCGUAGGUGGUCCUAUAAGUCAGUGCUGAAAUAUCCCGGCUUAACCGGGAGGGUGGCAUUGAUACUGCAGGACUUGAGUAAAGUUGAGGUAGGCGGAAUUGACGGUGUAGCGGUGAAAUGCUUAGAUAUCGUCAAGAACACCUAUUGCGAAGGCAGCUUACUAAGCUUUAACUGACACUGAGGCACGAAAGUGUGGGGAUCAAACAGG